Molecule: ribosomal RNA, 1866 nt
Filed under: Triticum aestivum (bread wheat)
Lineage: Eukaryota; Viridiplantae; Streptophyta; Magnoliopsida; Poales; Poaceae
Description: partial small subunit ribosomal RNA
Source: RNAcentral
AUGGGGUGGGCAUGGGCAGCCCUCCGGUCCGGAGUUCCAAGGUGGCGUGCCCAAAAUCCAUCGUGCUCGUCCAGCUGGGUCGGCUCGAUCCGCCUCAUCAUUCGGUCGCAGCCCUAUUCGACCGCUCCCGGUCCCAGCCACGGCGGGGAGGAGGAUGGGGAUCGGGAUGAGGUCAGGCAAGAGAUGCUGAACAGAUGGGUGUUCCGCGCCGCACAGACAACUUUCAGGGACUACCUCCAUGCCACGCGCGGCUUGUGCUUCACUGACGCCAAGCAUAUCAGCGAGCGCUCGCCCGUCUUCCUCGGCGAGCUGCUGGAGGAGGUGAAGGUGAACAAGGCGGUGAUGAAGGCUGCUGAUCAGGAUGGAGACGAGGCGAGGUUGAGGUCAAAAGUGAAGAAGAGGGUCAGCAGGGCGCUGGUGCGAUUGUUCCACCGCCGCCCUGUCAACGAGUUCAGGCCCUUCCUUGAGAGCAUUGGCCUCAGGCCGAGCGAGUGCGAUUACCUCUUGCCGCAGGAACUCACAUUCCUCGCGGAUGCCGAGAUGCUGCUCGAGAGCUACCAUGCACUAUGCAGUUACGGCAUUGCACGCCGCAAGAUUGGAAGGAUAUACUGGAAUGCUACCGAGGUGUUUAGUCUUGGCCAGGGCGUUCUUGCAUCUAAGCUCGAGGCCCUUGAGGGUCUAGGCUUCAGUAAGGCCACUGUGAUCAAAUUAGUGAUCUCUACUCCUACCGUGUUGGUUCAUGACCCGGCCGUGGAACUGAAGACGUUCUUGCUGUGGCUAGACGACAUUGGGAUUCAGCGAGACUGGAUCGGCCAGUUCUUAUCUGAAAGGGUGUCCUAUAAUUGGCCAAAAAUGGUCCAAGCUCUUCAGUCCUUGAGUGAUCUGGGGUUCACCAAGGAUGACAUUGGUAAAGUGGUGAGGAAAAAUCCGCAUUUGUUGUUGGAACACUCUGGUGGGGAGCUACAUUCCACAGUUGACACCAUGCAAAGGGUUGGAUCUGGAAAAAAGGAGUUACUUGAUCUUUUUCUGAACCACCCCAAUGUUAACAGCGUGGAUGUCGGUUGGAACAUAUCGAAGGGGUCAUGUUUCUUACAUGACAUUGGCAUAAGCUAUUGUGAUGUGACGAAGAUUUUGGAUUCUCAUGGAUGGAUGUUCGGUGCUGCCCCCAUGAAAGCCACGAGCACCAUUCUUGCGCAACUCAAUGUGGGCAAGGCACGGCUGCGAAAGAUCAUAAUGGAGGAACCACGUCAGUCGAUGAAUUAUACGAUUGGCUCAAAGGUCAGCAGACUGCCGAGAUGUAAACCUGAACCCUGUGUCAAGGAGAAGAGGGAAUUCUUAAGACGCAUAGGAUUUGUUGAAGGCUCGGAAGAUAUGGAGAAGGCACUCAAAGCCAUCCGUGGAAAAGGCGCCAACCUGCAAGAUCGGUACAACAAACUAGUGGAGAAAGGGUUAGACCCAAAACAUGUAGCCCACAUGGUGAAGGUCGCUCCUCGGAUUCUGAAUCAGAAGACGGACGCCCUUGCUUAUAAGAUAUCCUUCCUUGUGCAUGUGGCGGGUUAUCCCCUGAGUGCUCUGCCUGCUUUCCCACGGUACCUAGAGUUCACUGUGCACAGAAGCAAACUCAAGAUGCUGAUGUACAGUUGGCUGCUAGAAAGGGGGCUGGCUGCACCCCAACUUACUCUUAGCACGGUCCUAGCUUCCUCGGAAACAGAAUUCAUCAAGGCUCAUCAUGUAUAUAAGGUUCCCAUGGGUCGUGAGGUUUGGUGGAAGCUCAAGCGGGAGGGAGGUAGCUUCGGCCAAGAGGAGAUCAGAUGGCUGCGACACAGGUGCAACUUGGACGAUAGUCGAAUCGAAUGCAUGAGUUGA